AACUUUCAACUUUCAACUUUUAACUUACACUUUGUUCGUGACCAAAGUGUUGGGGAGUGGCGAACUGGGUAGUAACAGGUAGGUAUGAACUCAAGAGUCAGGAAUAGCUUAUCGAAAGAUAAGGUAAUACUUGAUAUCCCUUCGGGGGAAAGAUUUAUCGCUCUUGAAUCAGCCUGCUUAGUAUCAGCUUGUUGGUGAGAUAAAAGCUCACCAAGGCUAUGACGCUUAGGGGAGGUGAGAGCCUGACCCCCCACCAUUGGAACUGAGACACUGUCCAAACUCC
This 283-nucleotide ribosomal RNA is filed under the name uncultured bacterium. Its description in RNAcentral is "partial 16S ribosomal RNA". The stretch from base 62 to 283 matches the Rfam family "Bacterial small subunit ribosomal RNA", at positions 100 to 339 of the family's 1533-position model. The record is from RNAcentral.